CGGGGAUCGGCGGGAGCUCCUGGGCGCCGGGGCAGGAAGACGCCGGUUCCCGCGCUCUCGCGUUUCGCGCCGGCGCCGGCGAGGAAUAUGGCGCGCAUCCCCGACCCCUGCGGCGGCGGAGGCGGCGGCGGCGCCGCGGGAGGCGGCGGCGGAGGCUUCUGGAGCGGCGGCCACGCCGAGGGGGAUAACCCUAGCGGAGGACUAGAACGCUCCUCCCCGUACCCUCCGCCGCAGGACCGCACCCUGCUAUUAUGCGACCUCCCCCACGCCGCCGCAGAAGCCGCAUA
RNAcentral lists this long non-coding RNA (287 nucleotides) under Ananas comosus (pineapple). RNAcentral's name for it is "long non-coding RNA (ACOM_LNC032095)". The record is from RNAcentral. Lineage: Eukaryota; Viridiplantae; Streptophyta; Magnoliopsida; Poales; Bromeliaceae.